UACGUAGGGGGCAAGCGUUGUCCGGAAUCAUUGGGCGUAAAGCGCGUGUAGGCGGCUCGCUAAGUCUGCUGUGAAAGUCCAGGGCUCAACCCUGGGAUGCCGGUGGAUACUGUCGAGCUCGAGUCCGGAAGAGGAGUGUGGAAUUCCUGGUGUAGCGGUGAAAUGCGCAGAUAUCAGGAAGAACACCCGUGGCGAAGGCGGCUCUCUGGGACGGUACUGACGCUGAGACGCGAAAGCGUGGGGAGCGAACAGG
This 253-nucleotide ribosomal RNA is filed under the name uncultured bacterium. RNAcentral's name for it is "partial 16S ribosomal RNA". It matches the Rfam family "Bacterial small subunit ribosomal RNA", at positions 524 to 776 of the family's 1533-position model. The record is from RNAcentral.